ACUACGGGUGGCUGCAGUGAGGAAUAUUGGUCAAUGGGCGCGAGCCUGAACCAGCCAAGUCGCGUGAGGGAGGACGGCCCUACGGGUUGUAAACCUCUUUUGCCGGGGAGCAACGGGCGCCACGUGUGGCGUCACUGAGAGUACCCGGAGAAAAAGCAUCGGCUAACUCCGUGCCAGCAGCCGCGGUACUACGGGGGGUGCGAGCGUUAUCCGGAUUUAUUGGGUUUAAAGGGUGCGUAGGCGGAUCGUUAAGUCAGUGGUCAAAUUGAGGGGCUCAACCCCUUCCCGCCAUUGAAACUGGCGUUCUUGAGUGGAAGAGAGGUAUGCGGAAUGCGUGGUGUAGCGGUGAAAUGCAUAGAUAGCACGCAGAACCCCGAUUGCGAAGGCAGCAUGCCGGCUUCCGACUGACGCUGAAGCACGAAAGCGUGGGGAUCGAACAGGAUUAGAUACCCGAGUAGUC
This 460-nucleotide ribosomal RNA is filed under the name uncultured bacterium. Its description in RNAcentral is "partial 16S ribosomal RNA". It matches the Rfam family "Bacterial small subunit ribosomal RNA", at positions 338 to 795 of the family's 1533-position model. The record is from RNAcentral.